UAGGGAAUCUUCCGCAAUGGACGCAAGUCUGACGGAGCAACGCCGCGUGAGUGAAGAAGGAUUUCGGUUCGUAAAACUCUGUUGUUAGAGAAGAACAGCGCAUAGAGUAACUGUUAUGCGUGUGACGGUAUCUAACCAGAAAGCCACGGCUAACUACGUGCCAGCAGCCGCGGUAAUACGUAGGUGGCAAGCGUUGUCCGGAUUUAUUGGGCGUAAAGCGAGCGCAGGCGGUCAAUUAAGUCUGAUGUGAAAGCCCCCGGCUCAACCGGGGAGGGUCAUUGGAAACUGGUUGACUUGAGUGCAGAAGAGGAGGGUGGAAUUCCAUGUGUAGCGGUGAAAUGCGUAGAUAUAUGGAGGAACACCAGUGGGGAAGGCGACUCUCUGGUCUGUAACUGACGCUGAGGUUCGAAAGCGUGGGUAGCAAACAGG
Molecule: ribosomal RNA, 429 nt
Filed under: Bacteroidota bacterium
Lineage: Bacteria; Pseudomonadati; Bacteroidota
Description: Bacteroidetes bacterium partial 16S ribosomal RNA
Rfam family: Bacterial small subunit ribosomal RNA
Source: RNAcentral